Molecule: transfer RNA, 87 nt
Filed under: Camellia grijsii
Lineage: Eukaryota; Viridiplantae; Streptophyta; Magnoliopsida; Ericales; Theaceae
Also listed under: 1 other name
Description: tRNA-Leu
Source: RNAcentral
UGUCAAUACCGACAACAAUGAAAUUUAUAGUAAGAGGAAAAUCCGUCGACUUUAGAAAUCGUGAGGGUUCAAGUCCCUCUAUCCCCA